This 65-nucleotide transfer RNA is filed under the name Curculionoidea sp. 23 KM-2017. Its description in RNAcentral is "tRNA-Pro". The record is from RNAcentral. Lineage: Eukaryota; Metazoa; Arthropoda; Insecta; Coleoptera.
CAGAAAAUAGUUUAGUUUAAAAUAAUAAUUUUGGAGAUUAUAGAUAAAGGAGUCUUUUUUUCUGA